This 500-nucleotide ribosomal RNA is filed under the name uncultured bacterium. RNAcentral describes it as "partial 16S ribosomal RNA". It matches the Rfam family "Bacterial small subunit ribosomal RNA", at positions 30 to 523 of the family's 1533-position model. The record is from RNAcentral.
AUUGAACGCUGGCGGCAUGCCUUACACAUGCAAGUCGAACGGCAGCACGGGAGCAAUCCUGGUGGCGAGUGGCGAACGGGUGAGUAAAGUAUCGGAACGUGCCCAGUCGUGGGGGAUAACGUAGCGAAAGUUACGCUAAUACCACAUACGGUCUAUGGAUGAAAGCGGGGGAUCGCAAGACCUCGCGCGAUUGGAGCGGCCGAUAUCAGAUUAGGUAGUUGGUGGGGUAAAGGCUCACCAAGCCGACGAUCUGUAGCUGGUCUGAGAGGACGACCAGCCACACUGGGACUGAGACACGGCCCAGACUCCUACGGGAGGCAGCAGUGGGGAAUUUUGGACAAUGGGCGCAAGCCUGAUCCAGCCAUGCCGCGUGCAGGAUGAAGGCCUUCGGGUUGUAAACUGCUUUUGUACGGAACGAAAAGGUUUGGCUUAAUACGUUGAACUCAUGACGGUACCGUAAGAAUAAGCACCGGCUAACUACGUGCCAGCAGCCGCAGUAA